UGAGGCAGCGACGGCUGUGUGAAGGGAGGGGGAAGAGGGGUUCUGUCCAUGGGGAGGGGCUUCUGUCUGGGGGAACCCGUGGGUCUGGGGUCCCAUGCGUCUGCAGGGUCAUCUGUCUUGGAGGCGAGUAUGGGAGGACUUCUGGGCUGGAGGCCCAACGAGUCUUGGUAUCGGUUUGGACUUCCUCUCGUGGGAGGAAGACGCUACAUCUAAGAGGAAGAGCUGCCCUGUGGAACAAUGGGCAUAUCUGCUACCCUCUUUCAGCCUCAGUUUACACCUCUGCAAAGUGGAUACCAAGAAGGUCUGGACCCAGAAGCCUCGCCAUUGGGCCUUCUCGGCUGUUGGUGCUCUUGCUAAUCCCCUUCCCUCUCCCCGGAUAUGAGGGGCCUCACCCUUUGGCCAGCUCUCCUCUUACGGGCGUCUCCUGUUCGCUGGACUCCUGCCGCUCCAACCGCCGCUCGCGCCGCUCGCGCCGCCUCUCCAUCUGCUCAUAGCGGCCCAGUGUAAGGCUAUGUGCCACCUCAUGCUCCGCGGAUUCCUGUCGUUCUGGUCUCCUCCUCCGCGCAGACUCCUCGGGUUGGUCAGCCGAUUCUUGGCGCUCUGGCCGCCGCCUCCGGGGCAGCUCCUCCGUGCGAUCCGCUGAUUCCUGGCGCUCUGGUCUGGGCCGGACCUGCUCCGCAGCCGCAGGGGUCCCGGGAGUCUCCGCUGCAAUGUUCUCCGGUGCGGCCGGAGGGGCCGCAGGCUCUACCCUCCCGGGGACCUCCGGCAGCCGGUCAAUGCGCGGCUGGAGGCGCUCGGGCUUGAGCUCCUGGCGCACGUACCCCACCCGGGUCCGCACCUCGGCUGACAGCGUGUCCGAGGCCCGGCGGGCCAAGGGCUCCAAGCCCCUUUCAUAGCCCCCUGGCCGCAGUAAAGGUGCCGCCUUGGCCGCCAGUUCCGUGGGGUCCCCAAAGAACUUGCGCCCCAGCAGGGGAGUGGGUGGUUGCUUGCUUUGUUCUGCCUUGAUUUUCUCAAUCUGGGGACAGAAGGACCAGAGACAGGAUGGGGCGGGAAGGUGCGGAGAGUGAGUGGUCUGACAGGCACUCUGGGUUUUCUGCUUCACCUCUAAACCUAUUAGUUCCUUGAAGAAACAAGAUGCCCAACGCGCUGCCCCACUUUCUGCCAGGAGCUUGAUCCCCGAUCUUCCUGCAAACACCUCUUGCUCUUGUAGGAAUCAGCUAAAUCAACGUUUUCUCUGGGUGCUUUUCUAAACUUCUUUCUUCUUUAAUGUUUCCCACCCAGGAACUCAAAAAAACUUUUUAUUACAAUG
Molecule: non-coding RNA, 1309 nt
Organism: Ictidomys tridecemlineatus (thirteen-lined ground squirrel)
Lineage: Eukaryota; Metazoa; Chordata; Mammalia; Rodentia; Sciuridae
Source: RefSeq, a predicted model, not a curated record